AGCGGAGGAAAAGAAACUAACAAGGAUUCCCCUAGUAACUGCGAGUGAAGCGGGAAGAGCUCAAAUUUAAAAUCUGGCAGCUUCGCUGUCCGAGUUGUAAUCUGGAGAAGCAUUUUCCGCGUUGGACCGUGUACAAGUCUCUUGGAACAGAGCGUCAUAGAGGGUGAGAAUCCCGUCCAUGGCACGGACUACCAAUGCUUUGUGAUAUGCUCUCGAAGAGUCGAGUUGUUUGGGAAUGCAGCUCAAAAUGGGUGGUAAGUUCCAUCUAAAGCUAAAUAUUGGCGAGAGACCGAUAGCGAACAAGUACCGUGAGGGAAAGAUGAAAAGCACUUUGGAAAGAGAGUUAAACAGUACGUGAAAUUGUUGAAAGGGAAACGCUUGAAGUCAGUCGCGUUGUCUGGGACUCAGCCUUGCUUUUGCUUGGUGUACUUCCCAGUUAACGGGUCAACAUCAAUUUUGGUCGGUGGACAAAGGUUGAAGGAAUGUGGCAUCCUUGGAUGUGUUAUAGCCUUCUUCCGUAUACACUGGCUGGGAUUGAGGUCUGCAGCACGCCUUUAUGGCCGGGGUUCGCCCACGUUACGUGCUUAGGAUGUUGGCAUAAUGGCUUUAAGCGACCCGUCUUGAAACACGGACCAAGGAGUCUAACAUGCUUGCGAGUAUUAGAGUGGAAAACUCUUAUGCGUAAUGAAAGUGAAAGUUGGGACUCUUCAUCGAGGCACCGACGCCCGGCCCUGAAGUUUACUGACGGUGCCGCGGUAGAGCACGUAUGUUGGGACCCGAAAGAUGGUGAACUAUGCCUGAAUAGGGUGAAGCCAGGGGAAACUCUGGUGGAGGCUCGUAGCGAUUCUGACGUGCAAAUCGAUCGUCAAAUUUGGGUAUAGGGGCGAAAGACUAAUCGAACCAUCUAGUAGCUGGUUCCUGC
This 922-nucleotide ribosomal RNA is filed under the name Lyomyces mascarensis. RNAcentral describes it as "eukaryotic LSU rRNA". It matches the Rfam family "Eukaryotic large subunit ribosomal RNA", at positions 49 to 961 of the family's 3401-position model. Lineage: Eukaryota; Fungi; Basidiomycota; Agaricomycetes; Hymenochaetales; Schizoporaceae. The record is from RNAcentral.